GUUGUAUAGUUAAGUGACUAAGCGUACAAGGUGGAUGCCUUGGCAAUCAGAGGCGAAGAAGGACGUGCUAAUCUGCGAAAAGCUUGGAUGAGUCGAUAAGAGGCGUUUAAUCCAAGAUGUCCGAAUGGGGAAACCCAGUAGAUGAAGAAUCUACUAUCACUUACUGAAUACAUAGGUAAGUGAGGCAAACCGGGAGAACUGAAACAUCUAAGUACCCCGAGGAAAAGAAAUCAACCGAGAUUUCGUUAGUAGCGGCGAGCGAACGCGAAGGAGCCUGUUAGUGAUAAUGACAGAGACAGAGGAACAAGCUGGGAAGCUUGGCGAUACAGGGUGAUAGCCCCGUACUCGAAGUCCAGGUCAUGGUACUAAGCUAACGAUAAGUAGGGCGGGACACGUGAUAUCCUGUUUGAAGAUGGGGGGACCAUCCUCCAAGGCUAAAUACUCCUGAUUGACCGAUAGUGAACCAGUACUGUGAAGGAAAGGCGAAAAGAACCCCGGUGAGGGGAGUGAAAUAGAACCUGAAACCUUGUACGUACAAGCAGUGGGAGCCCUUUUUGGGUGACUGCGUACCUUUUGUAUAAUGGGUCAGCGACUUAUAUUUUGUAGCGAGGUUAACCGAAUAGGGGAGCCGAAGGGAAACCGAGUCUUAACUGGGCGUUUAGUUGCAAGGUAUAGACCCGAAACCCGGUGAUCUAGCCAUGGGCAGGUUGAAGGUUGGGUAACACUAACUGGAGGACCGAACCGACUAAUGUUGAAAAAUUAGCGGAUGACUUGUGGCUGGGGGUGAAAGGCCAAUCAAACCGGGAGAUAGCUGGUUCUCCCCGAAAUCUAUUUAGGUAGAGCCUUGAGCGGACACCUUCGGGGGUAGAGCACUGUUUCGGCUAGGGGUCCAUCCCGGAUUACCAACCCGAUGCAAACUACGAAUACCGAAGAGUGAUACUCAGGAGACACACGGCGGGUGCUAACGUCCGUCGUGGAGAGGGAAACAACCCAGACCGCCAGCUAAGGUCCCAAAGUCUAUAUUAAGUGGGAAACGAAGUGGGAAGGCUUAGACAGCUAGGAUGUUGGCUUAGAAGCAGCCAUCAUUUAAAGAAAGCGUAAUAGCUCACUAGUCGAGUCGGCCUGCGCGGAAGAUGUAACGGGGCUCAAAUAUAGCACCGAAGCUGCGGCAUCAGACGAAAGUCUGUUGGGUAGGGGAGCGUUCUGUAAGCGGAUGAAGGUGAAUCGAGAGGUUUGCUGGACGUAUCAGAAGUGCGAAUGCUGACAUAAGUAACGAUAAAACGGGUGAAAAACCCGUUCGCCGGAAGACCAAGGGUUCCUGUCCAACGUUAAUCGGGGCAGGGUGAGUCGGCCCCUAAGGCGAGGCUGAAAAGCGUAGUCGAUGGGAAACGGGUUAAUAUUCCCGUACUUGGAUAAACUGCGAUGUGGGGACGGAGCAGGUUAGGUUAUCGCACUGUUGGAUAUGUGCGUUUAAGUUUGUAGGUGGGAAGUUUAGGCAAAUCCGGACUUCUAUUCAACACUGAGAGAUGAUGACGAGGCUCUACGGAGCUGAAGUAACCGAUACCACACUUCCAGGAAAAGCCACUAAGCUUCAGGUUUAUCUAAACCGUACUGAAAACCGACACAGGUGGUCAGGUAGAGAAUACUCAGGCGCUUGAGAGAACUCGGGUGAAGGAACUAGGCAAAAUAGCACCGUAACUUCGGGAGAAGGUGCGCCGGCGUAGAUUGUAGUCCCUUGCGGAUGAAGGUUGAACCGGUCGAAGAUACCAGCUGGCUGCAACUGUUUAUUAAAAACACAGCACUCUGCAAACACGAAAGUGGACGUAUAGGGUGUGAUGCCUGCCCGGUGCUGGAAGGUUAAUUGAUGGUGUAAUCGAAAGAGAAGCUCCUGAUCGAAGCCCCAGUAAACGGCGGCCGUAACUAUAACGGUCCUAAGGUAGCGAAAUUCCUUGUCGGGUAAGUUCCGACCUGCACGAAUGGCAUAAUGAUGGCCAGGCUGUCUCCACCCGAGACUCAGUGAAAUUGAAAUCGCCGUGAAGAUGCGGUGUACCCGCGGCUAGACGGAAAGACCCCGUGAACCUUUACUAUAGCUUGACACUGAACAUUGAAUUUUGAUGUGUAGGAUAGGUGGGAGCCUUUGAAGCAGUCACGCCAGUGAUUGUGGAGGCGUCCUUGAAAUACCACCCUUUAACGUUUGAUGUUCUAACGAAGAUUACGAAACGUGGUCUCGGACAGUGUCUGGUGGGUAGUUUGACUGGGGCGGUCUCCUCCCAAAGAGUAACGGAGGAGCACGAAGGUUUGCUAAUGACGGUCGGACAUCGUCAGGUUAGUGCAAUGGUAUAAGCAAGCUUAACUGCGAGACAGACAAGUCGAGCAGGUACGAAAGUAGGUCAUAGUGAUCCGGUGGUUCUGAAUGGAAGGGCCAUCGCUCAACGGAUAAAAGGUACUCCGGGGAUAACAGGCUGAUACCGCCCAAGAGUUCAUAUCGACGGCGGUGUUUGGCACCUCGAUGUCGGCUCAUCACAUCCUGGGGCUGAAGUAGGUCCCAAGGGUAUGGCUGUUCGCCAUUUAAAGUGGUACGCGAGCUGGGUUUAGAACGUCGUGAGACAGUUCGGUCCCUAUCUGCCGUGGGCGUUGGAGAAUUGGUUGGGGCUGCUCCUAGUACGAGAGGACCGGAGUGGACGCACCACUGGUGUUCCGGUUGUGUCGCCAGACGCAUUGCCGGGUAGCUAAGUGCGGAAGAGAUAAGUGCUGAAAGCAUCUAAGCACGAAACUUGCCAAGAGAUGAGUUCUCCCAGAUUUAAAAUCUGUAAGGGUUGUUUAAGACUAAGACGUAGAUAGGCAUGGUGUGUAAGCGGUGCGAGCCGUUGAGCUAACAUGUACUAAUUGCCCGAGAGGCUUAACUAUACAACGCUCAAGGGUUUUG
This 2926-nucleotide ribosomal RNA is filed under the name Parahaemophilus parainfluenzae. RNAcentral's name for it is "Haemophilus parainfluenzae bacterial LSU rRNA". It matches the Rfam family "Bacterial large subunit ribosomal RNA". The record is from RNAcentral. Lineage: Bacteria; Pseudomonadati; Pseudomonadota; Gammaproteobacteria; Pasteurellales; Pasteurellaceae.